RNAcentral lists this ribosomal RNA (433 nucleotides) under uncultured bacterium. RNAcentral's name for it is "partial 16S ribosomal RNA". It matches the Rfam family "Bacterial small subunit ribosomal RNA", at positions 29 to 507 of the family's 1533-position model. The record is from RNAcentral.
AACGAACGCUGGCGGCAUGCCUAACACAUGCCAGUCGAACGAGACCUUCGGGUCUAGUGGCGCAUGGGUGCGUAACGCGUGGGAACCUGCCCUUAGGUUUGGAAUAACUCCCCGAAAGGGGUGCUAAUACCGGAUAAUGUCUUCGGACCAAAGAUUUAGCGCCUUUGGAUGGGCCCGCGUUGGAUUAGCUAGUUGGUAGGGUAAAAGCCUACCAAGGGGAAGAUCCAUAGCUGGUCUGAGAGGAUGAUCAGCCACACUGGGGCUGGGACGCGGCCCAGACUCCUACAGGAGGCAGGAGUGGGGAAUAUUGGACAAUGGGCGGAAUCCUGAUCCAGCAAUGCCGCGUGAGUGAUGAAGGCCUUAGGGUUGUAAAGCUCUUUUACCCGGGAUGAUAAUGACGGUACCGGGAGAAUAAGCACCGGCUAACUCCGUG